Molecule: ribosomal RNA, 509 nt
Filed under: uncultured eukaryote
Lineage: Eukaryota
Description: eukaryotic LSU rRNA
Rfam family: Eukaryotic large subunit ribosomal RNA
Source: RNAcentral
UAACAAUUAACUCAGAACUGAAGCGGACAAGGGGAAUCCGACUGUUUAAUAAAAAACAUAGCAUUGUGAUGGCCUGAAAAGGUGUUGACACAAUGUGAAUUCUGCCCAGUGCUUUGAAUGUCAAAGUGAAGAAAUUCAACCAAGCGCAGGUAAACGGCGGGAGUAACUAUGACUCUCUUAAGGUAGCCAAAUGCCUCGUCAUCUAAUUAGUGACGCGCAUGAAUGGAUCAAUGAGAUUCCCCACUGUCCCUAUCUGCUACCUAGCGAACACACAGCCAAGGGAACAGGCUUGGAAUAAUCAGCGGGGAAAGAAGACCCUUUUGAGCUUGACUCUAGUCCGACUUUGUGAAAUGACUUACGAGGUAUAGCCUAAGUGGGAGCUCACGCGAACCUGUAAAACCACUACUCGUUUGCCAUUUUACUUAUUCCGUGAAAUAGUGACCACUUUCCGGUGUUCUAGUAUUAAGGUUAGGCGCAAGCUCGACUGAACUAAGACGGAAGACAUGGUC